AUUGAACGCUGGCGGCAUGCCUUACACAUGCAAGUCGAACGGUAACAGGUCUUCGGAUGCUGACGAGUGGCGAACGGGUGAGUAAUACAUCGGAACGUGCCUAGUAGUGGGGGAUAACUACUCGAAAGAGUGGCUAAUACAGCAUGAGAUCUACGGAUGAAAGCAGGGGAUGGCAAGACCUUGUGCUACUCGAGCGGCCGAUGGCAGAUUAGGUAGUUGGUGGGAUAAAAGCUGACCCAGCCGACGAUCUGUAGCUGGUCUGAGAGGACGAUCAGCCACACUGGGACUGAGACACGGCCCAGACUCCUACGGGAGGCAGCAGUGGGGAAUUUUGGACAAUGGGCGCAAGCCUGAUCCAGCAAUGUCGCGUGCAGGAUGAAGGCCUUCGGGUUGUAAACUGCUUUUGUACGGAACGAAAAGCCCUGGGUUAAUACCCUGGGGUCAUGACGGUACCGUAAGAAUAAGCACCGGCUAACUACGUGCCAGCCGCCGCCGUAA
This 498-nucleotide ribosomal RNA is filed under the name uncultured bacterium. RNAcentral's name for it is "partial 16S ribosomal RNA". It matches the Rfam family "Bacterial small subunit ribosomal RNA", at positions 30 to 523 of the family's 1533-position model. The record is from RNAcentral.